AUCAGGAUGGCCGAGCGGUCCAAGGCGAUGCAUUCAGGUCGCAGCCCUUUCUGUGGUCGUGGGUUCGAAUCCCACUCCUGACA
Non-coding RNA from Schistosoma mansoni, 83 nucleotides. NCBI's taxonomy places the organism in Eukaryota, Metazoa, Platyhelminthes, Trematoda, Strigeidida, Schistosomatidae. The record is from Rfam.